GUGAGGAAUUUUCCGCAAUGGGCGAAAGCCUGACGGAGCAAUGCCGCGUGAAGGAUGAAGGCCUAUGGGUUGUAAACUUCUUUUCUCAGAAAAGAAUUAUGACGGUAUCUGAGGAAUAAGCAUCGGCUAACUCUGUGCCAGCAGCCGCGGUAAGACAGAGGAUGCAAGCGUUAUCCGGAAUGAUUGGGCGUAAAGCGUCUGUAGGUUGUUUAAAAAGUAUUCUGUCAAAGAUUAGGGCUUAACCCUAGAUAGACAGAAUAAACUUUUAAGCUAGAGUUUGGUAGAGGCAGAGGGAAUUCCCGGUGGAGCGGUGAAAUGCGUAGAUAUCGGGAGGAACACCAAAGGCGAAGGCACUCUGCUGGGCCAAUACUAACACUGAGAGACGAAAGCGAGGGGAGCAAAUGGGAUUAGAAACCCGAGUAGUCC
This 426-nucleotide ribosomal RNA is filed under the name uncultured bacterium. Its description in RNAcentral is "bacterial SSU rRNA". It matches the Rfam family "Bacterial small subunit ribosomal RNA", at positions 354 to 796 of the family's 1533-position model. The record is from RNAcentral.